CCUACGGGGGGCAGCAGUGAGGAAUAUUGGGCAAUGGGCGCAAGCCUGACCCAGCAAAGCCGCGUGAAGGAAGAAGGCUUUCGGGUUGUAAACUUCUUUUCUCAGGGACGAAGAGAGUGACGGUACCUGAGGAAUAAGCCACGGCUAACUACGUGCCAGCAGCCACGGUAAUACGGAGGUGGCAAGCGUUAUCCGGAUUUAUUGGGUUUAAGGGGCGUGUAGGCGGGAGUGCAAGUCAGAGGUCAAAACUCAGGGCUCAACCAUGACCCUGCAUUUGAAACUGGGUUUCUUGAGUGCUUGAGAGGCAAGCGGAAUUCGGGGUGUAGCGGUGAAAUGCGUAGAUAUAAGGAGGAACACCAGUGGCGAAGGCGGAUUGCUGGACAGUAACUGACGCUGAGGCGCGAAAGCGUGGGGAGCAAACAGGAUUAGAUACCCGGGUAGUC
RNAcentral lists this ribosomal RNA (443 nucleotides) under uncultured bacterium. RNAcentral describes it as "partial 16S ribosomal RNA". It matches the Rfam family "Bacterial small subunit ribosomal RNA", at positions 338 to 795 of the family's 1533-position model. The record is from RNAcentral.